ACCUCACGGCCAAAUUUCGGAAGGUAAUCGUUUUAUUUGAAGGGCAAGGAUACAUUUCAAGGCUCAUUAAAAACUUAAAACCUCUUUGAAAACAAUCUCCUUAGGAAUCUUGGGGCCAGAAGAGUUAGAAGCUUCUUUUCUGGACUGCUUAACAGCUCUGUUAUUAAGUCUGAUUACUUAAGCCCAUGAAUGGAAGGAUGUAAUAAAUCUUUUAGUAUUUGUUCUAGUUUAUGACUGAAGAAACUGUAUAAUAUUAAAUCAGAUGUUGUUAUAAACAUUUUAAAUGGCACUUUUUUUUUUUUUUACAACUCGGGGCAUCCUGGCAUGAAGUUUCUGGGGAUCUAAGAAGAGCAUGCUUUUACACUCUUGGAUUCCAAUACGUCUUGGGGAAAAAAUUCCAAAAACAAGUCUUCCAUAGACAUGCCUGAAUUUGACAGUGUUUUGCUGGAUGACCAGCGGGGGUUAUAGAGCACAAUACCAGCCAAGGACCUGGAAUAUGGAUAUCUUGAACAAGACCCACAAGGCAUAUCCGCUCAUUUAGUCCGAGUUGGAGCCCAUCAAAAACAGGAGAUGAUCUGAACUUCGGCGAGUCCCGCGCUUCCUGCAGGACCGUUCCUGCUUCUCUGCCGGGGACCGGGUGAGGAAGAAGAGGAGAUGGGGGAGGAGGAAGGGAUGGGGGGAGGUUGGGGAGAGGGGGCUGGGGGUGAGUAGUACCGGAGA
RNAcentral lists this long non-coding RNA (720 nucleotides) under Ornithorhynchus anatinus (platypus). RNAcentral's name for it is "lncRNA (ENSOANG00000050230.1)". Lineage: Eukaryota; Metazoa; Chordata; Mammalia; Monotremata; Ornithorhynchidae. The record is from RNAcentral.